GACGAACGCUGGCGGCGCGCCUAACACAUGCAAGUCGAGCGAGAACCAGGGCUUCGGCCCUGGGGACAGCGGCGAACGGGUGAGUAACACGUGGAUAACCUGCCCUCGGCACCGGAAUAGCCCGAGGAAACUCGGAUUAAUGCCGGAUAGCCCCACAUCCCUGCGGGGAACGUGGGAAAAGUAGCUUCGGCCUCUGGCCGGGGAUGGGUCCGCGGUGGAUUAGCUUGUUGGCGGGGUAAUGGCCCACCAAGGCGACGAUCCAUAGCUGGUCUGAGAGGAUGAUCAGCCACACUGGGACUGAGACACGGCCCAGACUCCUACGGGAGGCUG
This 330-nucleotide ribosomal RNA is filed under the name uncultured Actinomycetes bacterium. Its description in RNAcentral is "bacterial SSU rRNA". It matches the Rfam family "Bacterial small subunit ribosomal RNA", at positions 28 to 351 of the family's 1533-position model. Lineage: Bacteria; Bacillati; Actinomycetota; Actinomycetes. The record is from RNAcentral.